CCAUGCAGUCGAACGGUAACAGGGAGCUUGCUCCGCUGACGAGUGGCGAACGGGUGAGUAAUAUAUCGGAACGUACCUUUGAGUGGGGGAUAACUAGUCGAAAGAUUAGCUAAUACCGCAUACGAUCUACGGAUGAAAGUGGGGGACCUGUAAGGGCCUCGUGCUCAUAGAGCGGCCGAUAUCUGAUUAGCUAGUUGGUGAGGUAAAGGCUCACCAGGGCUUCGAUCAGUAGCUGGUCUGAGAGGACGACCAGCCACACUGGGACUGAGACACGGCCCAGACUCCUACGGGAGGCAGCAGUGGGGAAUUUUGGACAAUGGGGGCAACCCUGAUCCAGCAAUGCCGCGUGAGUGAAGAAGGCCUUCGGGUUGUAAAGCUCUUUUGUCAGGGAAGAAACGGGGGAUCCUAAUACGGUCCCCUAAUGACGGUACCUGAAGAAUAAGCACCGGCUAACUACGUGCCAGCAGCCGCGGUAAUACGUAGGGUGCAAGCGUUAAUCGGAAUUACUGGGCGUAAAGCGUGCGCAGGCGGUUAUGUAAGACAGGUGUGAAAUCCCCGGGCUUAACCUGGGAAUGGCAUUUGUGACUGCGUGGCUAGAGUGUGUCAGAGGGGGGUAGAAUUCCACGUGUAGCAGUGAAAUGCGUAGAGAUGUGGAGGAAUACCGAUGGCGAAGGCAG
RNAcentral lists this ribosomal RNA (677 nucleotides) under Collimonas pratensis. RNAcentral's name for it is "bacterial SSU rRNA". It matches the Rfam family "Bacterial small subunit ribosomal RNA", at positions 53 to 724 of the family's 1533-position model. Lineage: Bacteria; Pseudomonadati; Pseudomonadota; Betaproteobacteria; Burkholderiales; Oxalobacteraceae. The record is from RNAcentral.